ACACGCAAGGUGCCAUUGCUUCUCCCAUGUUUAACAGCAGUGGUAUCAAAUAACACGCAAGGUGCCAUUCCUCUCCAAUAACUAGCAGCCUCUCUAACCAUUUUUCUGUGAUAGAGAGCUCUCCAGCGUUCCUGCAACCACCGAUCAAUAACACCGAUAUAGCCAAAGUUCCUGCUUUCGAUGAGAAUUCUGAAAAAGAAACUGAUGAUGUCGACUCUUUGGUGGAUGCAGGAGAGCUAUCUUCUAACCCACCAGAUGCUUUUGUUCCAUCUCUUGGAGCAUGGGCCAAACCUCUGACAUUCGCACCACCUGCUACUCCUCCAAUGCCAGCAACACCAUCAGAUUUUGAUCCACAGUACCUCAACAACCUACUUGAUUCCUUCUGGCCAACACUAAAUGAUGGAAUUGGGAAGAAAAAAAGAGAUACACAC
Molecule: long non-coding RNA, 431 nt
Filed under: Brassica napus (rape)
Lineage: Eukaryota; Viridiplantae; Streptophyta; Magnoliopsida; Brassicales; Brassicaceae
Description: long non-coding RNA (BNAP_LNC012166)
Source: RNAcentral